GACGAACGCUGGCGGCGUGCCUAAUACAUGCAAGUUGAGCGAUGAAGAUUGGUGCUUGCACCAAUUUGAAGAGCAGCGAACGGGUGAGCAACGCGUGGGGAAUCUGCCUUUGAGCGGGGGACAACAUUUGGAAACGAAUGCUAAUACCGCAUAACAACUUUAAACAUAAGUUUUAAGUUUGAAAGAUGCAAUUGCAUCACUCAAAGAUGAUCCCGCGUUGUAUUAGCUAGUUGGUGAGGUAAAGGCUCACCAAGGCGAUGAUACAUAGCCGACCUGAGAGGGUGAUCGGCCACAUUGGGACUGAGACACGGCCCAAACUCCUACGGGAGGCAGCAGUAGGGAAUCUUCGGCAAUGGACGAAAGUCUGACCGAGCAACGCCGCGUGAGUGAAGAAGGUUUUCGGAUCGUAAAACUCUGUUGGUAGAGAAGAACGUUGGUGAGAGUGGAAAGCUCAUCAAGUGACGGUAACUACCCAGAAAGGGACGGCUAACUACGUG
RNAcentral lists this ribosomal RNA (497 nucleotides) under uncultured bacterium. Its description in RNAcentral is "partial 16S ribosomal RNA". It matches the Rfam family "Bacterial small subunit ribosomal RNA", at positions 28 to 507 of the family's 1533-position model. The record is from RNAcentral.